UACGUAGGGGGCAAGCGUUGUCCGGAUUUACUGGGCGUAAAGGGCGCGUAGGCGGUCAGCACAAGUCAGUUGUGAAAUCUCCGGGCUUAACUCGGAAAGGUCAACUGAUACUGUGCGACUAGAGUGCAGAAGGGGCAACUGGAAUUCUCGGUGUAGCGGUGAAAUGCGUAGAUAUCGAGAGGAACACCUGCGGCGAAGGCGGGUAGCUGGGCCGACACUGACGCUGAUGCGCGAAAGCCAGGGGAGCGAACGGG
Molecule: ribosomal RNA, 254 nt
Filed under: uncultured bacterium
Lineage: Bacteria
Description: partial 16S ribosomal RNA
Rfam family: Bacterial small subunit ribosomal RNA
Source: RNAcentral